CCAUGCUAGGUGGGGAGGUAGCGGUGCCCUGUAACCCGCAACCCGCUAUAGCGGGGCUGAAUUCCUCGCCAGCGGCCGGGUGGACGUCUGGACUGCCUUGAGUAGGAGGCGUUGAGAAUCGGGUCUUACGCAACAGACAGUUGUGAACCCCGUCAGGUCCGGAAGGAAGCAGCGGUAAGCAAUGUCGUCUGUGUGCCGUAAGGGUGCCUGGUUUGAGUCUUCUGCUCAAGUCCCGCAGGCGAACACCGGUCAAUGGCAGGUGCAUGG
This 267-nucleotide signal recognition particle RNA is filed under the name Nitrospinota bacterium. RNAcentral's name for it is "Nitrospinae bacterium signal recognition particle sRNA large type". It matches the Rfam family "Bacterial large signal recognition particle RNA". From Rfam's summary of the family: The signal recognition particle (SRP) is a universally conserved ribonucleoprotein involved in the co-translational targeting of proteins to membranes. Archaeal SRP consists of a 7S RNA and homologues of the eukaryotic SRP19 and SRP54 proteins. Lineage: Bacteria; Pseudomonadati; Nitrospinota. The record is from RNAcentral.